GUGCUUGCUUAAGCAGCAUAUAGACUAAAAUUGGAACGAUACAGAGAAGAUUAGCAUGGCCCCUGCACAAGGAUGACAUGCAAAUUCGGGAAGCAUUCCAAAGAAAA
Dromiciops gliroides (monito del monte) is the source of this 107-nucleotide small nuclear RNA. Lineage: Eukaryota; Metazoa; Chordata; Mammalia; Microbiotheria; Microbiotheriidae. The record is from RefSeq and is a predicted model, not a curated record.